GCAAGUCGAACGCACAGCGAAAGGUGCUUGCACCUUUCAAGUGAGUGGCGAACGGGUGAGUAACACGUGGACAACCUGCCUCAAGGCUGGGGAUAACAUUUGGAAACAGAUGCUAAUACCGAAUGAAACUUAGUGUCGCAUGAUACGAAGUUAAAAGGCGCUUUGGCGUCACCUAGAGAUGGAUCCGCGGUGCAUUAGUUAGUUGGUGGGGUAAAGGCCUACCAAGACAAUGAUGCAUAGCCGAGUUGAGAGACUGAUCGGCCACAUUGGGACUGAGACACGGCCCAAACUCCUACGGGAGGCUGCAGUAGGGAAUCUUCCACAAUGGGCGAAAGCCUGAUGGAGCAACGCCGCGUGUGUGAUGAAGGCUUUCGGGUCGUAAAGCACUGUUGUAUGGGAAGAACAGCUAGAAUAGGGAAUGAUUUUAGUUUGACGGUACCAUACCAGAAAGGGACGGCUAAAUACGUGCCAGCAGCCGCGGUAAUACGUAUGUCCCGAGCGUUAUCCGGAUUUAUUGGGCGUAAAGCGAGCGCAGACGGUUGAUUAAGUCUGAUGUGAAAGCCCGGAGCUCAACUCCGGAAUGGCAUUGGAAACUGGUUAACUAGAGUGCAGUAGAGGUAAGUGGAACUCCUG
RNAcentral lists this ribosomal RNA (633 nucleotides) under Leuconostoc pseudomesenteroides. RNAcentral describes it as "bacterial SSU rRNA". It matches the Rfam family "Bacterial small subunit ribosomal RNA", at positions 57 to 672 of the family's 1533-position model. The record is from RNAcentral. Lineage: Bacteria; Bacillati; Bacillota; Bacilli; Lactobacillales; Lactobacillaceae.